Molecule: long non-coding RNA, 1572 nt
Filed under: Marmota monax (woodchuck)
Lineage: Eukaryota; Metazoa; Chordata; Mammalia; Rodentia; Sciuridae
Source: RNAcentral
AAAAACUUUUCACCACAUCCUCUUGGAUAGGACGGAACUGAUUGGGGGUUCUGCUGGUCACACUACCACCUCCAAUGUAUGUGGGUGAAGGAGCGGAUGUCAAUCUUAGGGGGAUCUCUAACAUGCUGCCUUGAGACCAUGGACUUUCUCAUGCCCUGUUCAACAUUUUACAGUCUUCUUGCUGUUGAUAUAACCUAGUAGCACAGACUGGGUAGUUUAUAGAGAUCUGAGGUUCAUUUGGCUCACAGUUCUGGAAGCUGGGAAGCUCCAAAACCUGGAGCUAGUGUCUGUUCAGCACCUGGCGAGGGCCUUCCUGCUGCAUCCUACAGCGAGAAAGCAUGUGUACUAGAUGGGACCUUUCUUCCCCUUUCUAAAGAGCCACGAAUACCAUCAUGGUGUCCCCACACUCGUGGCCUCAUCUAAUCCUAAUUACCUUCCAAAGGCUCCACCUCUAAUAUCAUCACCAUAUCAAUUUGGGAACUCUCCAGCAGGUGGAUUGGGAAGGAACAUUCUAACCAUCGCAAAUCAGAAGCCAUGCUUAUCAUUGUGGACCUUGUUCACAGUGAGGCCCAGGGACAGCAGACAACUAGCAUUGAUAUGUCAAAUUCUGUGUUCCUAAGGACUCUGGGUGAGCUAGAGCCAUGGCCAAAAUAGGCAUCUGCCUGAGAGGCAGUCUCUCCUGAAAGCAGAACACAGGGCUCUGGCAGAAUUUCCCUCCACAGUCCCAGGCCCUGGGGUGAAAGUACAAAUGCAGGCCAGCCAGGCACAGGCCCAAAUAUGUACAAGUCAUAAAUCAAGCUACCAAACAGCUUCAUAAAUUGUGUCCUAUCCUCCUGCCUUGAGAAGUAUACCUUAUUGUCAAGCCCAGGGUCAAAUUCAGAACUCUUAAGACUGCUUGAGUCUCAGUGCAACAACCUGAUCCAACAGGGCGAGCCAGCCAGUAGCCCCCUUCCCCCAGAGGUCAACACAUCUUUCCAUUUUGUAACCUAUUCCUGGACUUUUGGGCGACAUAUCGGCAGUUGCUUCCUCUUUCCUGCCUCACCAGUUAUGUCUGCCAUCAGUCCAUUUACCUGGCUCUGCCCUCCAGCUUCUCUCCAGUUCCUCAGUUUCUUCAGGCAAACACUGGUCUGGUGCCUACUUCUGGCACCGCCCCCUGGGAUGCGAAGAGAACCUGGUCAGUGGCUCCCUGCUUUCCAGCUCCCGGGUCUUCUGUGGUGAUCACCACCUCACCCCGACUACCCUCACCAAUCCGAGGCUCUUGACCUCGAUCAUAACCAGCCAAAGCCUACUUCUGCAGAUUUGGGGCAGCUGGAGUAGGAGGGAGUCUCACCCACUAGCAAUGCAUUUCUUUGAAUUCCAGUGUUUUUAUUUUUAGAGUUUUACAUGCUUUAAAAGAAAAGGUCUGAUCAUUGAAAUAUGAUUUAUGUAGAACACGAACUUCAAAAUGCAUUUAAAAAAUAAACAUUCAGCUUUGUGAAUUGUUAAAACAUAAGAAUAUAAGAUAAACAAAUGCCCCUGACCCCUGCCUUGUGCCUCGCUAUCUUCUCUCCAAAGGGAACAAACCACUCUUCU